Mirounga angustirostris (Northern elephant seal) is the source of this 8079-nucleotide long non-coding RNA. RefSeq lists it as uncharacterized. The record is from RefSeq and is a predicted model, not a curated record. Lineage: Eukaryota; Metazoa; Chordata; Mammalia; Carnivora; Phocidae. The transcript has 3 exons.
AGCUCUACAUAAAGUGUUGUUAUAGAUCUCAAAACUCUUUCAGAAUGAAAAGAGACCACAUGAUGUAUACAAGGAUGGUACGUUAAUGAGAGAGCAGUGGGGAGAGGGGAAGGGUAAGAGGACGAACACUCUCUGAUGAUCCUCCCUAUUCCAGGUACAGGAAAGGCAAUGUACAUCUCUGUGUUAUGACAUGUUAAUCAUGACAGCAACCCCACGAGGUAAGUAUUAUUACGGCCACUUGACCAGAGAGGAAAUUGAAGCUAAGAAAUUUGGAGAGACUUGGGCAAGAUAAAUCAGUAGGCAGCAAAGCUAUCUCAGGUCUGUCCCAGCUGACCCGUGCUUUUCUUAAGAAUACAUGCUACUUUCUUUUUUAAUUUGACAGACUCAUAGGACAAAAUAUUUGGAAAUGGAUAAAAGCUUUAGGCGUUCAUAAAAAAGGGCGCCAAACCCACUUAAGCUGGGUGGCUGAUGGUGUCCCUGGAGGCAAGUAUAAUAUAGCUUUUGCAUAACUCUUGUUGAUUAUUUAUAGCCUUGGAGUUACAAAGGUGAAAAAUGUGAUUCCUGUCCUCAGAGAACUUACAGGCCAGUGGAGAAACAGAAAUGCAAACAAAUUCAACACGGUAACUGCUACAGUGGUCACACGUUCAGAACAGAGGUGGAUUAUGGUAAAAGAAAUCCCUACCUGGAAGGGGAUUGGAGAAAGAUUCACGGAGGAUAUAAUUUUGACACAGGAUGCUGGCUAAGGACAAACAGGAGUUUGCCAGGCAGAGAGGACAGAGAGGACAGUCUGUGAAAAGGAGGGAGGCUGAAGACAUCUCUGGGAAUUGCAAGGAGUUCAGCAUUGAUGGCUCGUGAAAUUUAGAGAUAAGAGUGGCAGAAAAUAAGUCUCUAGGGGAAACAAGUGCCAGACCUUCCUAAAAGUGUUUAAGUUUCAUUGUUUUUAGAAGGAAAAUAAUAAUUAUGCAGCACUGUGAUGUCACCAAAUAAGAAAUGACGUGAAAGCAUAGAGGUCCAAAGUAAUUAAUAUUUUAACUUUCAUGCCUGCCCAAGAUUGGAGAGGACCUAAAUGUGCACCGAUAGAGGACUUGUUAAAUACAUCUUGUAUACACAUAAAUGAAAAACUAUGCAACUAUUCAAAAAGAAUGAGACAAACCUACAGUGUCCUAGAUCAGGUGCUCUAGAAAGCCAAGCUAACAAUGUAGGGAGAUACAAGCCUCGGAUGGCGAGGGGGAGGCCAGUGUGAAGUAAGUCCAGAGAAGGUUCAUUGCCAUGCAACGUGCUAGCAUGCCCACCACAUCAACGACUGGAAGAGACACAGCGCUUCGCUCAGCAGGUGGGUUACAAGCAGGAGCCAUCUCAGGGUGGACUAUGCAGGAGAGGUAGGAGAAGUCACCUGCUUGGCUCCUCCUGUCUCUUGUUUCCAAUUGGUGGAGCUUCUCACUUCCCAGUUAGGUCCUGACCCUUGGUGGCACCUGGGUCGCUGGGACCUAUGCCUUGUUCUAUGGUGUUUCAUCUGGGUCCCAAAGUGGAGGGGCUACCAGGUGCAGGAGGAGCACUGACCGAGAGAGAGAAAGAGGGAGCCUGUUGAGGGAAUUUUAAAAGGCACGGGAAGAGUUUUCUCCCGAUACAUAUAAUGCUGGGCUAUAAAGUCUGGAAACAUAGACAUUAUUUUAUCACAUAUUAUAUGUUGAUAAGCUAGCUUUUUUUUUUUAAAGAUUUUAUUUAUUUAUUUGAGAGAGAGAGAAUGAGAGACAGAGAGCGUGAGAAGGAGGAGGGUCAGAGGGAGAAGCAGACUCCCCGCUGAGUAGGGAGCCCGAUGUGGGACUCGAUCCUGGGACUCCAGGAUCAUGACCUGAGCCGAAGGCAGUCGCUUAACCAACUGAGCCACCCAGGCGCCCCGAUAAGCUAGCUUUUUUACAAAAAAAUUCCUUAUGUUUUCUUAUGUAGGCACCUUGUGUUUUGGUAUAAAACAAGCUUCAGAAUGUCCUUUAAUUGAAUAAACAAGGUACAGCACAGUACAUACGCUGCCUGCCAACCCUGGGUAGAAUAAAGAAUAUGUGUGUGGGGCAGAAGCUGGCAAAAUAGCUGAAGGAGAUUAAAAGGUAUAAAAUAAAUAAGUCAUGGGGAUACAACGUACAGCAUAGGGAAUAUAGUCAAUAAUAUUGUACUAGUGUUGUAUGGUGACCACACUUAUCUUGGUGAGCAGUUCACAAUGGAUACACAUGUUGGAUCACCAGCUGGUACACCCGAAACUCACAGAAUAUUGUAUGCAGCUAUGCUUUGCUAAAAAUUAAAAAAAAAAAGUAUGUAUGCUUAUUUCUGCAUAGAAUUCUUCUGGAAGGAGAUCCAAGAAGCCACCAGCAGUGUUUGUCUUUGGGAGGAGGAAUUAGGUGGGAGGGGGGUUGAGUAAGAGGAAAUUCACUUUUCACCAUAUCUCUUUUUGUGCUUUUCUAAGUCUGCACCCUGUCAGACUAUAAUUUAUUCGUCUGAAAACUUACAUUACACUGAGAAACCCAUUUUUAAUGUUAGUGUCAGGGUGGCUGGUAAAACAGGCGGCAAAGAAUUACACCAAGAGUAGAACCACCAGCAGGACAGAGUUUAUUUAGUCUCUGAGGCUGGAGAGGGACCCAACACCGAGAGAGACGUCGCCCCCCAGUUUCCGUUAGGCUGGGCCUUCUAAGGGGUUUUCAGGGUGUGAGAGGGCUGCAGCUGUGGCGAGGGGGCCAACUCUUGGCCAGGUGGAGCGGGAGGUGACACUUUCUCCAGGGGCUCUGUCCGGGAGGUGGGUUGUGGUCCCGCUAGAGAAUACCUUUUGUCGUUGUGGUCUACUUUCUGAGAAUGAGGGGCACCAUGACCUGGAAAAGCAAAGAGUUAGGGCCAAGCACAGACACCUGUGGGUUUAGUCUGUAAGCUUGCCUGGGGAGGGGACCUUUUUUCCCCCUUUCAGUUAGGAAGAUCCCACUGGCAGUAGUAAAGAGGAUUUUUGAAGGAGAUCAUUUAACUCAGCAAAUAUGUAGGAGCAUCAGGAUACCAGGGCGGAAAGGGAAGGAAACAUGGCAGACCUGGCCCUGCCUGACAGAGUUUGUAACUGAGAGAGAGGACAGGUAGACAAGUGUAAAGGCAGCGCUGUGGGCUCUGGAACCCUCAGCAAGUGAGGACAACAGAUCCUCGCUCUGAGUACACAAUCCCAGUGCUGAAGAAGUGAUUUUGUGGUAAAACCCCUACAUGGGCCGCGCUCAGUCUCUCGUGUUUCCUCCCUAUGGUCCCUGUGCUGUACUUUUCAUCCCCGUGACUUAUUUAUGUUACAACUGGAAGUUUGUACCUUUUACUCCCCUUCACCUAUUUUGCCCAUCCCCCAACUCUUCCUCUCUAGCAACCACCAGCUUGUUCUCUGUCUUGGUGAGUCUGUUUCUGCUUUUGUUGCUGUUGUGUAUUUGUUCCUUCGUUUGGUUUUUUUUAGGUUCCACAUAUGAGUGGAAUCAUAUGGUAUUUGUCUUACUCUGGAUGACUUACUUCACUUAGCGUCAUACUCUCUAGGUCUAUCCAUGUUGUUGCAAAUGGCAAGAUCUCAUUCUCUUUUAUGGCCAUUUGUGUGUGUGUGUGUGUGUGUGUGAGAGAGAGAGAGUUAUAUAAUCAUAGUUACAUAUAAUAUAUAUAUAUAUAAUAUAUAAAUUAGUUUCUCAUUUUUAAAUUGUUGAUGUUGAGCCAGAAAAGAGGUACACAAACUUUUUCUGUAAGGGGGAAGUGAUAAAUAUUUUAGGCUUUGCAAGCUGGACUGUCUCUGUCCCAGCUCCUCAAGUCUGUUGAGGAGGUACGCGGCAGCCUUACCAAUAUCUACGCAAACGAGCAACGCUUGGUCUAAUUAAACUACUGGGAGCCUUGCAAGUCUAUUGGAGGCUCCAAGAGGACUUGGAAUAUCAUACAAUUUUUAGGUGUCGUGAAAUAUUAUCCUUCCUUUGAUUUUUCCCGAAGCCUUUAGAAAUGCACAACCUCUUGUCGGCUUGUAGGCUGUACCAAAAUGGGCAGAGGGUCCUAUUUUGCCUGCAGGCUGUGGUAGGCUCACCCCUAAGUUAAAAUUCUAACUCCGUCCACGUAAAAUAUCGAUACGUCUCCAAACAGCAGUGCAGGUGCUGCUGGACCACGCAAUCGUUGUGGUUCUGUGGCUGGUUGCUUGAUUUGCAUUUCAUUUUGGUUUAACUUUGGGUUUGUUCCCCUUACUUCGGCAUGCUUAUUCUUGCUGCAUCGUGUGCUGAUUUGAAAUGGAGUCCUGCACUGCCAAGAAGGUCACAAAAGAAGAUUUAAUUCCCCUGUGACUGCCGGUUAUUUCAUUUCUGGACAUUAGAGGCGCUUUUAUGAGCUCCACACCAUAUGCCAUAUGGAAUAUCAUUAUGAGCUCCCUAGAGCUUCUGUUAUGGCCAUCUGUCUGUGACUUCCUGUGUGGUUUCUUUGGCAGAUGGGGACUCAUCUAUCAGAAAUGCUUCUGUAAAGUAAGUUUUCAAAGCUCAAUUCUAAACAUCUGCCUCUGGAGUUAGAUGUAUAUUUUCAAGGCUUAGACGUUGGAAGCACAUUCAUAAUGAUCGCUAUUGUGAAGGCCCAGUUGCCAAUCAGAAGAGUGUAUUGUAGUCCAUCACCAGGGUGACACCUGGACACAAGCGCGGCCAACCCUGCAAAAUCCUCCCCAAGGAAAGCUCUAGAGUCUCCCAUUUGGAGGACUCUGACUUGUUAGUCAGAACCUUGGCGUUCUGCCUGCACUAGGCCUCUGCUCUCAAACACACCCAGAAUUUUCCAUCCUAGUGGUAGGAAUUAUAUUUGUCAUCAUAUUGUGUAUUUUGUUUUUGUGUCCCCAGUAUCGAAUACGACACCUAACACUUAGUAGGAGUUCAGUGAAUUUUUGUUAACCUGAACUGAGAUGUUGAAUUAUCCCCCGUGAGCUUCUAGAUCAUCUCUCUCUGCAGUAUCAAUGACAGGACUUUCACUCAACAUGACAUUGGUGAUCAGUGGUAAAGGAACUGUUUGUCUUCCAUCUCCUUUGUUCUGCCCCGGGUGAGGUCUUUCACUGCCCACACUGCUGACCUCCACCUGAUCCUGUUGCCCCAUAUUUGGUGCCAUGCCAGGCUAGGACUCUCCCCCAGAUUCUCCAGAAGUUUCUCAGCACUUGCCCUCGGUGGACCAACCAUAGUACUCCUUGGGGAACUGAUGACCUCCUGCCAAGAUUACUCCUCAGUGAGGAUCCAAAGUCCCAGGGGGGAACCAACCAGACCGUCCUGCCCCAAAAGGGUGGGGAUUACCCUUUGGAGGGAUUCUCCCCUCCCUUUCUUUUCUCUUUUUAGCCCUCGGGUGGUCUGACCCUGUACUUCCCAGACAACUGAAGAUCUCGGGCCAGGGCAGCUGCCUGGUGUGGUCUGAAGGUCUGAGGAUGAACAUGACCACUGCCCAAAUGCCAAAGAUUUGUCAUUGUCGAGCUGUCAGUGGGGAAUGUAGAGGCUACUUUAAGGCAAUAGGCUUGAGCAAUGGAAACCCGAGGAAGGGAAAAGGGCCCACAGUGACCACAGGGCUGAAAGCAAACAGCCUCAUUAAGCAACCCACCUGGAGAUAGCCAUAGGCCCUACCUGCCCAAUGGGCUGCUUACAACCAGGCACAGGUACCAAAAAAGGAAAAUUCCAUAUGUUCCCAUACCUCUUCACUCCCCCCAUAACUAUAGCCCCUCACUACCUCUUGUGGCAGAGUCUCUUUCUUCUUUGCUGUCUUGCCCACUCUUCCCUUGCUGUAUAGUCAAUAAACUCCUAUCUCCUUAAAAAAAAAAAAAAAAAAAGAAUUGUUUGUUAUGUUGUCUUGGUGGCUGAUUAUGAAUGUAUAUAAAGUUCAUAUUUAUUUUGUGAAGAUGAGUGAGAUACUCAGAAUAAAGCAUUUUCAGAUCUUCACAUAAAUGCAUAGAAUAGAUCACCCAGGAUCGCAAGAUGUGGAUGGAUGAAAGUAUCUUGACCUCUGAGUAAGAAGAUCUUGACUUAAAUACCAGCUCUUUACAAGCUCUAAAAAAACAAAACAAAACAAAACAAAAAACCACUUACUAUCUUGGAUCUAUUUUGGUCUCUGAAACAAAGAAUAAUCCCUGCCCUCUCUUCCACCUUGCAACCUAGAAGUGAUGUAAGAAUUGAACAAGAUAGUGUAAAUGACUAAAGUUUACAAAAUGAAAAUUUGCAAUGCAAAUAUAGGAUUUGUUCAUUCAUAUGCACAUUUAUGGCCCCCUAAGGACAAAGCACUGGGGAAUACAGAUGUGAAAACAAAUAAUUUUUAAAGGCAGACAAAUGAGUUGGCACACAGGGAGGUAGCAGGAACGGUCCUCAACUUGAACGGGCUUAAGAAUCAGGUGGAAGGUAUGUUAAACAUGCAGAUUCCUGUGCCCCACUAGAGAGAUUCUGGUGUGAAAGAUCUGGGCUUGGGUACAGUAUUCUAUGGAUUUAACAAACUCCCCAGGAGAUUCUGAUGUGGGUGGUCCAUGGACCAGGCUUUGAGAAUACCAACUUAGGAUUUAGCAGGGAAGAUAGAAAAAAAAAAUCACUAACAACUUUCUUAUUAAUUUUAGGACCCCAAAAUAGGCCUGCAAUAUUUUGUUAAAAUGGUGUUCACGGCCGGUGAAGAAGUGAGAAACAAGUGAGAUGAUGAGAUCAAGGGUACAACAAUGAUGGUGAUUGACCAAAGUCAGCCCUUGAAUGCACCUCUGCCCUUCAUUACUCUACAUGACCACUCACGCCUUCUCUGCUCUCCUCAGACCUCCAAUCGCCCUUUGCUCUGGACUCACUAGCUGGACCUUGCUCUCUGGAAUUUAUGCAUCUUGCGCAUCCCUGGUUUAUACCAAUAGCUAGUCAGCUCUUAAAGGGCAUUCCUGUUGUGGUUUAUUAGAAGAUUCAAUACCUUCAAAGACUUAGGUCUUUCCCUCUCUGCCUACUGUACUCAGUGUGGGUAGAGAAUAAUGGGAAUGUGGACAAGGUCACAGUCCCCUCAGCACUCCUGGCUCUGCUUGGCUUGUUUUCAAGUGACUUACUGAUGUUUACCCAGAAGAAUCAGAAGAUUGAGUGGGUGAGUCUGGACGAAUCAUCACCACACCAGAGGAGAACUCAGCCCUAUGUAAGCAGCACCUAUCAUCAGGAGAUAAUUUGGUGGUAGGGAAUCUAGAAAUCAAUGGGAACUUCUCCCCUUAGCUUUGUUUUUUGUGUGUGUGUUCUCUUGGCAUUCAUCGAUUUUGCCUCUCAGCUUGUGAAGUACUUGCACUUUGAGCCUUCCUUUUUUAUUUGUGAUUUUUAUGACAAUUAUAAUUGAGCUUCAUGAAAUCUCCUCUAGUCCUGUAGGCUUUUGGACAUAGUCUCUCUGUUUGAGGUUAGGUCCAGAAGCUUCUUCCACAUACAUUUUUUACUUUAGGAGUUGUUUUGGAAUUUCUCUGGAAACCACACACUGAGUCAGAACGAAACCUUUUUAGAACAUCUCCCUAAACUGAAUACCUUAGCAGAAUGGAUCCAUCCAAGGAGCGUGCUUGAGGAAAAAGGUCUGAAUGCCGUCUAGCUAAAUAUAGGGAUUUGUCCUGCUGAGUGGACUGUGCAAGCUGAGGACAAAACCUGACGUGUUUGGGGAUUUUUAGACGCUGUUAUAUUGGAGCGGAAGUAGAGGCUUGGGGGCAGUGAAAAUAGAGAAGAGACCCAGCUGGGAGGACACAGAAAGAAGAAUCUGGAGAGGAAGUAGUGAAUGGAGAAGCAUGGUUAAGCUUAGCUGCAAAGUGUGAUGUAACCUUCCUAGACUCCCCAUAAAAUCUAGAAAAUUGAUAUUAUAGUUAGAUCUUUUUUGCCAAAUAACCUUUUUAUUUUAGAUCAGUUUUAGAUUUACAGACAAGAUGUGAAAACAGUACAGAGAGCUGGCAUAUACCUAUCCCACACCCAGUUUCCCUGUUACUAAUAUCUUACAUUAGUAUAGGGCCCUUUUCACUAUUAAUGAACCAACAUCAGUAUUUUAUUAUUAACUAAAGUCCAUGCUUUAUUUAGACUUCCUUGGUUUUUUUACCUGAUGUCCUUAAAUUUUUUUUUUUUUUUC